RNAcentral lists this unclassified non-coding RNA (449 nucleotides) under uncultured fungus. Its description in RNAcentral is "partial contains small subunit ribosomal RNA, internal transcribed spacer 1, and 5.8S ribosomal RNA". The stretch from base 1 to 73 matches the Rfam family "Eukaryotic small subunit ribosomal RNA", at positions 1759 to 1831 of the family's 1831-position model. The record is from RNAcentral. Lineage: Eukaryota; Fungi.
ACAAACUUGGUCAUUUAGAGGAAGUAAAAGUCGUAACAAGGUUUCCGUAGGUGAACCUGCGGAAGGAUCAUUAAAAGAUCGACCUCAUUUUUUUUGGUAUGGACGAUCGAAUCCAUAUCCACCUUGUGUGCACUGACUGACCGUUCGCUUUGGCAGGAGGAGUCUUGGAUGAUUUUCUUUUCUUUUUUCUUUCCUUUCCUUUCCUUCCCUUUUCGAAGGGAAAAAAAGGAGGGAAGGGGGGAGGGGGGAGGAGGAAAUAUUCCAAGCGAGGUUUCUUUUUUUCAAAAAGAAAACCUUGGCCUGCCAGAGUUUUUUAUUGCGAAAAAACGCUUCUCUUCUUCAUCUUCUUCCAGAAUGGAACCUUCAUCUCGAUUCUCUGUAAUCGAAUUGAACCAAAUACAACUUUCAACAACGGAUCUCUUGGCUCUCGCAUCGAUGAAGAACGCAGC